Molecule: long non-coding RNA, 372 nt
Filed under: Cyanistes caeruleus (blue tit)
Lineage: Eukaryota; Metazoa; Chordata; Aves; Passeriformes; Paridae
Description: lncRNA (ENSCCEG00000000829.1)
Source: RNAcentral
CUUGUCUGGAUAGAGAAAUACCCACAAAUCUGUUGAACAUGUGUCUUUUCACAGAUACUCCUUUGUGAACUCCAACCCUCUUCUCCAUACAUAGAAGACAGGAAUAGCACACCCUCGCUGAUGUGUUAAAGUCCACUGGAAAUUAACUCCAGGUCUGGAUAGACCAUUAUGGUCAUGCCAUGAAAAAAAAACAUACUCCUUCUUAGGCUCCUACUAAAUACCUUACGUUUACUACUCUUUGAGGUAAAAAGGGGUUCAUCUGCCGAAUUAGUGAAGUUUGUGAAAUUUCAGAAUUUAUCUUGUGAAUAUGAGCCUAUGUUCUUCCAAGUCAGGCCUAUCUACUCAUAGCCUGAAAUUUCAAAAACCAUAAAU